RNAcentral lists this ribosomal RNA (429 nucleotides) under uncultured bacterium. RNAcentral describes it as "bacterial SSU rRNA". It matches the Rfam family "Bacterial small subunit ribosomal RNA", at positions 355 to 776 of the family's 1533-position model. The record is from RNAcentral.
UGGGGAAUUUUGGACAAUGGGGGCAACCCUGAUCCAGCCAUGCCGCGUGAGUGAAGAAGGCCUUCGGGUUGUAAAGCUCUUUCGGGAGGAACGAAACGGUCUAGGGGAAUAUCCUGGGCUAAUGACGGUACCUCAAGAAGAAGCACCGGCUAACUACGUGCCAGCAGCCGCGGUAAUACGUAGGGUGCGAGCGUUAAUCGGAAUUACUGGGCGUAAAGCGUGCGCAGGCGGUUUGUUAAGUCAGAUGUGAAAUCCCCGAGCUUAACUUGGGAACUGCGUUUGAGACUGGCAAGCUAGAGUCUGUCAGAGGGGGGUAGAAUUCCACGUGUAGCAGUGAAAUGCGUAGAUAUGUGGAGGAAUACCGAUGGCGAAGGCAGCCCCCUGGGACAUGACUGACGCUCAUGCACGAAAGCGUGGGGAGCAAACAGG